This 539-nucleotide ribosomal RNA is filed under the name Heterobasidion araucariae. RNAcentral describes it as "SSU rRNA". It matches the Rfam family "Bacterial small subunit ribosomal RNA", at positions 359 to 962 of the family's 1533-position model. Lineage: Eukaryota; Fungi; Basidiomycota; Agaricomycetes; Russulales; Bondarzewiaceae. The record is from RNAcentral.
AAUUAGUCAAUGCUCGCAAGAGUGAACUAGCUAACUGAAAUCAAUGAAAAUAAUAGAUUGAUAACGUAAGGGAAAAUAAUGAUAUUACCUUACUAUUAGUGUCGUCCAAAACUGGUGCCAGAAGACUCGGUAAGGCCAGAGACGCAAACGUUAAUCGUCUUAAUCAGGCGUAAAGGGUUUGUAGGCUGCUUUUAACUUAUAAAAUAAAAAUAAAAGCUAGAAUCAAAUAGAGGUUAUAUUACAUAAUACUUAGAGUAGGUCUUAUAUCCUUAGAUACUAAGGGGAAUAUUAAGGGCGAAAGCUUUUUUACCAUUAAUGAUUGACGCUGAGAAACGAAGGUGAGGAAAGGAAAUAGGAUUAGAUACCCAAAAUACCCCUCUCUGUCAACGAUGAAUGGUCACUAUUAGUAAAUAAAUUAGUAGUAAUGUUAACACAAUAACCAUUCCGCCUUGUUACUACGACUGCAAAGUUAAAAACAAAAAAAUUAGUCGGUCUCGAAGCAAACGAAGUGAAGCAUGUUAUUUAAUUCGAUAAUCCGC